UACGGGGGAUGCAAGCGUUAUCCGGAUUUAUUGGGUUUAAAGGGUGCGUAGGCUGUGAGGUAAGUCAGCGGUGAAAUGCCCCCGCUCAACGGGGUGAAGUGCCAUUGAUACUGCCUUGCUGGAAUGCGGAUGCCGUGGGAGGAAUAUGUGGUGUAGCGGUGAAAUGCAUAGAUAUCACACAGAACACCGAUUGCGAAGGCAUCUCACGAAUCCGCUAUUGACGCUGAUGCACGAAAGCGUGGGUAUCAAACAGG
This 254-nucleotide ribosomal RNA is filed under the name uncultured bacterium. RNAcentral describes it as "partial 16S ribosomal RNA". It matches the Rfam family "Bacterial small subunit ribosomal RNA", at positions 524 to 776 of the family's 1533-position model. The record is from RNAcentral.